Molecule: ribosomal RNA, 255 nt
Filed under: uncultured bacterium
Lineage: Bacteria
Description: partial 16S ribosomal RNA
Rfam family: Bacterial small subunit ribosomal RNA
Source: RNAcentral
UACGUAGGUGACAAGCGUUGUCCGGAUUUACUGGGCGUAAAGAGCGCGCAGGCGGUCGUUCAAGUCGAGUGUGAAAGCCCCCGGCUCCAACUGGGGAGGGUCAUUCGAUACUGAUCGACUCGAAGGCAGGAGAGGGUAGUGGAAUUCCCGGUGUAGUGGUGAAAUGACGUAGAUAUCGGGAGGAACACCAGUGGCGAAGGCGACUACCUGGCCUGUUCUUGACGCUGAGGCGCGAAAGCUAGGGGAGCAAACGGG